Molecule: ribosomal RNA, 1986 nt
Filed under: Escherichia coli
Lineage: Bacteria; Pseudomonadati; Pseudomonadota; Gammaproteobacteria; Enterobacterales; Enterobacteriaceae
Description: partial 23S ribosomal RNA
Rfam family: Bacterial large subunit ribosomal RNA
Source: RNAcentral
ACGGGAGACACACGGCGGGUGCUAACGUCCGUCGUGAAGAGGGAAACAACCCAGACCGCCAGCUAAGGUCCCAAAGUCAUGGUUAAGUGGGAAACGAUGUGGGAAGGCCCAGACAGCCAGGAUGUUGGCUUAGAAGCAGCCAUCAUUUAAAGAAAGCGUAAUAGCUCACUGGUCGAGUCGGCCUGCGCGGAAGAUGUAACGGGGCUAAACCAUGCACCGAAGCUGCGGCAGCGACGCUGAUGCGUUGUUGGGUAGGGGAGCGUUCUGUAAGCCUGCGAAGGUGUGCUGUGAGGCAUGCUGGAGGUAUCAGAAGUGCGAAUGCUGACAUAAGUAACGAUAAAGCGGGUGAAAAGCCCGCUCGCCGGAAGACCAAGGGUUCCUGUCCAACGUUAAUCGGGGCAGGGUGAGUCGACCCCUAAGGCGAGGCCGAAAGGCGUAGUCGAUGGGAAACAGGUUAAUAUUCCUGUACUUGGUGUUACUGCGAAGGGGGGACGGAGAAGGCUAUGUUGGCCGGGCGACGGUUGUCCCGGUUUAAGCGUGUAGGCUGGUUUUCCAGGCAAAUCCGGAAAAUCAAGGCUGAGGCGUGAUGACGAGGCACUACGGUGCUGAAGCAACAAAUGCCCUGCUUCCAGGAAAAGCCUCUAAGCAUCAGGUAACAUCAAAUCGUACCCCAAACCGACACAGGUGGUCAGGUAGAGAAUACCAAGGCGCUUGAGAGAACUCGGGUGAAGGAACUAGGCAAAAUGGUGCCGUAACUUCGGGAGAAGGCACGCUGAUAUGUAGGUGAAGCGACUUGCUCGUGGAGCUGAAAUCAGUCGAAGAUACCAGCUGGCUGCAACUGUUUAUUAAAAACACAGCACUGUGCAAACACGAAAGUGGACGUAUACGGUGUGACGCCUGCCCGGUGCCGGAAGGUUAAUUGAUGGGGUUAGCGCAAGCGAAGCUCUUGAUCGAAGCCCCGGUAAACGGCGGCCGUAACUAUAACGGUCCUAAGGUAGCGAAAUUCCUUGUCGGGUAAGUUCCGACCUGCACGAAUGGCGUAAUGAUGGCCAGGCUGUCUCCACCCGAGACUCAGUGAAAUUGAACUCGCUGUGAAGAUGCAGUGUACCCGCGGCAAGACGGAAAGACCCCGUGAACCUUUACUAUAGCUUGACACUGAACAUUGAGCCUUGAUGUGUAGGAUAGGUGGGAGGCUUUGAAGUGUGGACGCCAGUCUGCAUGGAGCCGACCUUGAAAUACCACCCUUUAAUGUUUGAUGUUCUAACGUUGACCCGUGAUCCGGGUUGCGGACAGUGUCUGGUGGGUAGUUUGACUGGGGCGGUCUCCUCCUAAAGAGUAACGGAGGAGCACGAAGGUUGGCUAAUCCUGGUCGGACAUCAGGAGGUUAGUGCAAUGGCAUAAGCCAGCUUGACUGCGAGCGUGACGGCGCGAGCAGGUGCGAAAGCAGGUCAUAGUGAUCCGGUGGUUCUGAAUGGAAGGGCCAUCGCUCAACGGAUAAAAGGUACUCCGGGGAUAACAGGCUGAUACCGCCCAAGAGUUCAUAUCGACGGCGGUGUUUGGCACCUCGAUGUCGGCUCAUCACAUCCUGGGGCUGAAGUAGGUCCCAAGGGUAUGGCUGUUCGCCAUUUAAAGUGGUACGCGAGCUGGGUUUAGAACGUCGUGAGACAGUUCGGUCCCUAUCUGCCGUGGGCGCUGGAGAACUGAGGGGGGCUGCUCCUAGUACGAGAGGACCGGAGUGGACGCAUCACUGGUGUUCGGGUUGUCAUGCCAAUGGCACUGCCCGGUAGCUAAAUGCGGAAGAGAUAAGUGCUGAAAGCAUCUAAGCACGAAACUUGCCCCGAGAUGAGUUCUCCCUGACUCCUUGAGAGUCCUGAAGGAACGUUGAAGACGACGACGUUGAUAGGCCGGGUGUGUAAGCGCAGCGAUGCGUUGAGCUAACCGGUACUAAUGAACCGUGAGGCUUAACCUUACAACGCCGAAGCUGUU